Molecule: non-coding RNA, 29 nt
Filed under: Mus musculus (house mouse)
Lineage: Eukaryota; Metazoa; Chordata; Mammalia; Rodentia; Muridae
Source: RNAcentral
UAGAAUAAUUGGAGUCAGUAUUGCUCAGG